This 29-nucleotide non-coding RNA is filed under the name Homo sapiens (human). Lineage: Eukaryota; Metazoa; Chordata; Mammalia; Primates; Hominidae. The record is from RNAcentral.
UUCCACGCACGGCCUGAAGACUACGCAGU